CUCAAUAAUAAAACCAGUCUUCCCUUUCCCAAAAAUUUCAUAUCCUCUCCUAAAUACAUAACACUUUUUCCACUUACCAAAAAACUUCCUUCCAAUAUCUUGUAUUUUUAUUAUAAAAUUAUUUUUAUAUAUUCAAAUGCAUUAAAUUUUUAUUAUUGGGACCCUUCAACCAUUUUGCAACAGCCGUAGAUGCCUUCCACGGUUAAUACCAACUCAACUUGAAUCAAUGGAUAUAAAAGCUAUCAUGAGUUUGAUUUAAAUACAGCUUCAUUCUAACCGUUGAAGAUGAAGUUUGUUCAUUCAGCAACAUCUAUACCAUGCAAUUUGAUUGAUACUCUUUUUCCAGUGUCAACGAUCAUGAUUUCCUUGAUUAAAUAAAGAGUUAAUGGGAACACUCAUAAACCUUUCACUCGAGGAAACUUUGAGCACAUCAUUGAAAUCCUUCGCUUCAUAAGAAUCUAAUGUUCGCCAUUGCUAUGAUGUGUUAUGCUUAUAAUUUGUAGGAGAGACAUUGACUCUUUAAGUUAAAAUAUUAAAUAAAUUAUGAAAUGUAUGGGAUAAAAAAUAAAAGUAGUUUAUCUUCAUUAUUUUGGAAAUUAAUAACUAUCGGGAACAAUGUGAUGAAGGAAGCAACCCCAUCAUCAAUGAAUGAACGGGAUAAUAUUAUUAAAUGAUGGAAUCUAGUCCAUCAUAAAUUCCUAAACUAUUAUCAAACACAAUGAUUAAACCAUCAUUGCGGAAACAAGACAUAAUCAUUUCUAAUCCUCCUCCAAGUCGAAUUAUCGCAAUACCAUGGGAUGAUAUGGAUUCAUCUAAUCCUACUCUAAGUAGCAUUAUCACAAGGCCAAUGGAUGAGAUUCUGUUCACCUGAUCCUCCUCUAAAUUGCAUUAUCAUAAUGUAAUUCUCAAAGUUGCAUUGUAACAAAUUUAAAUUACAUUAUCGAAGUUGUAUUAUCACAAUACCAUCCUACAAGUGACUUCAUAUGUAUUAAGGAAUGAUUAAUACAAAUAAUUUGAUUAAAUAUGUAA
Lathyrus oleraceus (garden pea) is the source of this 1029-nucleotide long non-coding RNA. RefSeq lists it as uncharacterized. Lineage: Eukaryota; Viridiplantae; Streptophyta; Magnoliopsida; Fabales; Fabaceae. The transcript has 3 exons. The record is from RefSeq and is a predicted model, not a curated record.